RNAcentral lists this ribosomal RNA (253 nucleotides) under uncultured bacterium. RNAcentral describes it as "partial 16S ribosomal RNA". It matches the Rfam family "Bacterial small subunit ribosomal RNA", at positions 524 to 776 of the family's 1533-position model. The record is from RNAcentral.
AACGUAGGAGGCGAGCGUUAUCCGGAUUUACUGGGUGUAAAGCGCAUGCAGGCGGCAUGAUAAGUUGGGUGUGAAAGCUCCUGGCCUAACCGGGAGAGGUCGCUCAAGACUGUCAAGCUCGAGGAUGAGAGAGGAAGGCGGAAUUCCGGGUGUAGUGGUGAAAUGCGUAGAGAUCCGGAGGAACACCAGUGGCGAAAGCGGCCUUCUAGCUCAUAACUGACGCUCAGAUGCGAAAGCCAGGGUAGCAAACGGG